GUGUGAAGAAGGUCUUCGGAUUGUAAAGCACUUUAAGUUGGGAGGAAGGGCAUUAACCUAAUACGUGAGUGUUUUGACGUUACCGACAGAAUAAGCACCGGCUAACUCUGUGCCAGCAGCCGCGGUAAUUA
RNAcentral lists this ribosomal RNA (131 nucleotides) under uncultured Pseudomonas sp. RNAcentral's name for it is "partial 16S ribosomal RNA". It matches the Rfam family "Bacterial small subunit ribosomal RNA", at positions 403 to 525 of the family's 1533-position model. Lineage: Bacteria; Pseudomonadati; Pseudomonadota; Gammaproteobacteria; Pseudomonadales; Pseudomonadaceae. The record is from RNAcentral.